Molecule: ribosomal RNA, 468 nt
Filed under: uncultured bacterium
Lineage: Bacteria
Description: partial 16S ribosomal RNA
Rfam family: Bacterial small subunit ribosomal RNA
Source: RNAcentral
GACGAACGCUGGCGGCGUGCUUAACACAUGCAAGUCGAACGGAAAGGCCCUGCUUUUGUGGGGUGCUCGAGUGGCGAACGGGUGAGUAACACGUGAGUAACCUGCCCUUGACUUUGGGAUAACUUCAGGAAACUGGGGCUAAUACCGGAUAGGAGCUCCUGCUGCAUGGUGGGGGUUGGAAAGCUUCGGCGGGUGGGGAUAGACUCGCGGCUUAUCAGCUUGUUGGUGGGGUAGUGGCUUACCAAGGCUUUGACGGGUAGCCGGCCUGAGAGGGUGACCGGCCACAUUGGGACUGAGAUACGGCCCAGACUCCUACGGGAGGCAGCAGUGGGGAAUAUUGCACAAUGGGCGGAAGCCUGAUGCAGCAACGCCGCGUGCGGGAUGACGGCCUUCGGGUUGUAAACCGCUUUCGCCUGUGACGAAGCGUGAGUGACGGUAAUGGGUAAAGAAGCACCGGCUAACUACGUG